AUGUCGAUCUCAGCAUCGGAGGGAGAGCUGUCAGAUGAAGAUUCAGCUGUGCUGCUGCCCUCUGGGACGGUGGCGGAGCCUGAAUUGGAUCCGGAGAUGACAGCUAUGCUUUCCCGGGCCGCCGAGAGGGUAGGGCUCGAGUGGAAAUCUCCACCGCGUCCCGAGCCCUCGAGGCAGGAUGAUUGGUUUCUCAAGGUGGCGCGCGCUGGUUUUCAGCGCCCCACCCUGGUGCCUUUCUUCCCGGCAGUGCAUGACGAGCUCACCAGGUCGUGGAUGGCACCUUUUACUGCCAGAAACUGGCUGGUGGGCUCCUCCUCCCUCACCACCCUCGAUGGCAGUGCAGCGAAGGGGUAUUCGGUGAUUCCCCCAGUGGAGCGGGCGGUAGCGAUGCAAGUGUGUCCUAAGUCUGCCUCCUGCUGGCGGGGAGACCCGGUGCUUCUUUCCCGGGCCUAUAGGCAUUCGUCUGGUCUAACCGGCGGUGCCUAUAUGGCUUGCGGGGAAGCUGCUUCUGCCUUACACGCUGUGGCGUUACUGCAGGUGCACCAGGCCAAGGCACUGAAGGACCUGCACGAGGGUGGUUACGAUCCAGAAGUUCUGAAAACUCAGAACCGCCACUGGCCUCGCGCUCCCGAGCGACGAAGGUCACCGUGCAUUCUCUGGGUCGUGCGGCAGCAGCUGCCCGCUGGGCAGAAGGUCGGACCGUCUCAGUCUGCUCCUGUGCAGCCGAGGACUGCUGGGCCAUGUUCUCGACUGCAUUACCGAAAAGGCCGGUCUGGGACACAGGAGCUUUGAGGAACCAAACUUUGUCAGCUUCCCUCAUGUCGACCAGACACAACCAGAGGUGAUGCUCCUGCACCACAAGUGUGGACAGCGCACGACCCAGAUAACUCAAGGUGACCUUCAUCGAUUGGAGCGCAAGAUGUUUUUAGAACUUCCGGAUCAUAACCUCCCUUGUGCGGGUUCCUCAGUGCUUCAGCCUGAAGAACCUACAGUAACGCCGUAGCGUGUAAGGUGGAGGCAGCUUCUCCACAGGCCGUAUAAGCAUCGCUGGCCAGACGAGUACCUACAGACCCGGGAGGGGAGGCACGGUUUGCCCUGCUGGGUGGAGGUGUAUUAGGACACAACUGCAUUGCAACUAAAAAAAGCAUAGCCAUUAUUUCCAUAUCGAUAUCCGUCGGAAGUAUUACCUAAGGAUACUACUGGUAUCCUCCUUCUAGAGGGCCCAGCACAUUCCAUUGGCAGCUCAACUGUUUGUGGAGUGCAAGAGGAGUGAUGGUCCCCCGAGGGUUGGUUCCCUGGAGGGUUUGCCAUAACUGUUACCCUCAGACCGCCCGUGCUACUGCUUGAAGUAGCCCCUGCCUGACUGCCACCAUGAUGAGAACUAGAUCAAGGUAGAGUCAAUGGAGCUCCGCCACCUUUGAGGAAACAGAGCUUGGCCUGUGACACCAAGAAGAUCAUCUUCCUGCAAUGAGAACAUGACUCAUACACAAACGCCACCUCAGCGUGCUAAAUGCUCAGGCACAUGAGGCAUUGAUUGUGACCAUCACCCAGCACUAGGUAAAGACCGCAUCCAGAAACGCCCGGGUGAUACGUUGUCUAUAGCAAGAUCCACAACGAUCUGAUUUAAUAAUAAUCUAUUUAUUUGGAAUAAUGCAACAAUUCUACCCCCAUAUUAGUUCACCCAAAAAUAAUAUUUCUGUCAUAAUUUAUUCACUAAUGUAAAUGAUGAAA
Molecule: long non-coding RNA, 1731 nt
Organism: Cyprinus carpio carpio
Lineage: Eukaryota; Metazoa; Chordata; Actinopteri; Cypriniformes; Cyprinidae
Source: Ensembl